GAAAUGCGAUAAGUAGUGUGAAUUGCAGAAUUCAGUGAAUCAUCGAAUCUUUGAACGCACAUUGCGCCCUUUGGUAUUCCAAAGGGCAUGCCUGUUCGAGCGUCAUUUGUACCCUCAAGCUUCGCUUGGUGUUGGGCGUCUUGUCUCUAGCUUUGCUGGAGACUCGCCUUAAAGUAAUUGGCAGCCGGCCUACUGGUUUCGGAGCGCAGCACAAGUCGCACUCUCUAUCAGCAAAGGUCUAGCAUCCAUUAAGCCUUUUUUUCAACUUUUGACCUCGGAUCAGGUAGGGAUACCCGCUGAACUUAAGC
RNAcentral lists this unclassified non-coding RNA (308 nucleotides) under plant metagenome. Its description in RNAcentral is "partial contains 5.8S ribosomal RNA, internal transcribed spacer 2, and large subunit ribosomal RNA". The stretch from base 1 to 105 matches the Rfam family "5.8S ribosomal RNA", at positions 50 to 154 of the family's 154-position model. The record is from RNAcentral.